GGUUUAGGGUUUAUGGUCUAGGGUUUUGGGCUUAGGGUUUUGGGCUUAGUGUUUCGGGUUUAAGGUUUAGGGUUUAGGGUUUUGGCCUUUGCGUUUAGGGUAUAGAGUUUAGGGUUUAGUGUUUAGGGUUUAGGAUUUUGGGUAUAGGAUUUAGGGUUUAGGGUUUAGGUAGGGGGCUAGGUGGGGGAAGGUGUGCAAGGGCUAGGAGUCUUUCCAGGGGCUCUAGGGGGGUCAUCUAGGGGCGCUAGAUGGGGUAGGUGUGCUAGGACUAGGGGCCUUUCUAGGGGUUCUAUAUUGGGUAGGGUCUUUAGGUUUAGAGUUUAGGGUUUAGAGUUUGGGGUUUAGGGUUUAGGUAGCGGACUAGGUGGGGGAAGUUGUGCAGGGGCUAGGGGCCAUGCCAGUUGCUUUAAGGGGGUCCUCUAUGUGGGCUAGGUGGGGUAGGUGUGUUAGGACUGAGGGCCUUGCAAGGGGCUAUAGUAGGGCCCUUUAGGCGUGCUUGUGGGUUCUCUAUGGGUUCAAAAAGGUCUAGGGGGUAUUGAGGGUUUACGGUUUAUGGUUUAGGGUUAAGGGUUUCCGAUUUAGAUGUUAGGGUUUAGCGUUUAGAGUUUAAGGUUUUGGGUUUAGGGUUUAGGGUUUAGGGUUUAAAGUUUAGGCUUUAGCUUUUAGGGUAUAUGGUUUAG
This 680-nucleotide long non-coding RNA is filed under the name Vigna radiata. RNAcentral's name for it is "long non-coding RNA (VRAD_LNC012394)". The record is from RNAcentral. Lineage: Eukaryota; Viridiplantae; Streptophyta; Magnoliopsida; Fabales; Fabaceae.